Molecule: ribosomal RNA, 992 nt
Filed under: Alcaligenes faecalis
Lineage: Bacteria; Pseudomonadati; Pseudomonadota; Betaproteobacteria; Burkholderiales; Alcaligenaceae
Description: bacterial SSU rRNA
Rfam family: Bacterial small subunit ribosomal RNA
Source: RNAcentral
GGGGACCGGUUAUCGGGUAUUACUGGGGCGUAAAGCGUGUGUAGGCGGUUCGGAAAGAAAGAUGUGAAAUCCCAGGGCUCAACCUUGGAACUGCAUUUUUAACUGCCGAGCUAGAGUAUGUCAGAGGGGGGUAGAAUUCCACGUGUAGCAGUGAAAUGCGUAGAUAUGUGGAGGAAUACCGAUGGCGAAGGCAGCCCCCUGGGAUAAUACUGACGCUCAGACACGAAAGCGUGGGGAGCAAACAGGAUUAGAUACCCUGGUAGUCCACGCCCUAAACGAUGUCAACUAGCUGUUGGGGCCGUUAGGCCUUAGUAGCGCAGCUAACGCGUGAAGUUGACCGCCUGGGGAGUACGGUCGCAAGAUUAAAACUCAAAGGAAUUGACGGGGACCCGCACAAGCGGUGGAUGAUGUGGAUUAAUUCGAUGCAACGCGAAAAACCUUACCUACCCUUGACAUGUCUGGAAUGCCGAAGAGAUUUGGCAGUGCUCGCAAGAGAACCGGAACACAGGUGCUGCAUGGCUGUCGUCAGCUCGUGUCGUGAGAUGUUGGGUUAAGUCCCGCAACGAGCGCAACCCUUGUCAUUAGUUGCUACGCAAGAGCACUCUAAUGAGACUGCCGGUGACAAACCGGAGGAAGGUGGGGAUGACGUCAAGUCCUCAUGGCCCUUAUGGGUAGGGCUUCACACGUCAUACAAUGGUCGGGACAGAGGGUCGCCAACCCGCGAGGGGGAGCCAAUCUCAGAAACCCGAUCGUAGUCCGGAUCGCAGUCUGCAACUCGACUGCGUGAAGUCGGAAUCGCUAGUAAUCGCGGAUCAGAAUGUCGCGGUGAAUACGUUCCCGGGUCUUGUACACACCGCCCGUCACACCAUGGGAGUGGGUUUCACCAGAAGUAGGUAGCCUAACCGUAAGGAGGGCGCUUACCACGGUGGGAUUCAUGACUGGGGUGAAUCUAAGGGGGGGGGCCCGCAGAAAAGGCGCGGUCUCUUUUCCCG